UCUCGGCUCUCGCAUCGAUGAAGAACGUAGCGAAAUGCGAUACUUGGUGUGAAUUGCAGAAUCCCGUGAACCAUCGAGUCUUUGAACGCAAGUUGCGCCCGAAGCCAUUAGGCCGAGGGCACGUCUGCCUGGGCGUCACGCAUCGCGUCGCCCCCGCACAC
Molecule: ribosomal RNA, 161 nt
Filed under: Nicotiana miersii
Lineage: Eukaryota; Viridiplantae; Streptophyta; Magnoliopsida; Solanales; Solanaceae
Also listed under: 2 other names
Description: 5.8S ribosomal RNA
Rfam family: 5.8S ribosomal RNA (bases 1-138)
About the family: 5.8S ribosomal RNA (5.8S rRNA) is a component of the large subunit of the eukaryotic ribosome. It is transcribed by RNA polymerase I as part of the 45S precursor that also contains 18S and 28S rRNA.
Source: RNAcentral